GGUAAACCGCGGGUUAAAUCCUA
Molecule: non-coding RNA, 23 nt
Filed under: Arabidopsis thaliana (thale cress)
Lineage: Eukaryota; Viridiplantae; Streptophyta; Magnoliopsida; Brassicales; Brassicaceae
Source: RNAcentral